Molecule: long non-coding RNA, 232 nt
Filed under: Ananas comosus (pineapple)
Lineage: Eukaryota; Viridiplantae; Streptophyta; Magnoliopsida; Poales; Bromeliaceae
Description: long non-coding RNA (ACOM_LNC019933)
Source: RNAcentral
AUGGGAGGUAUCAAACAACAUAAACACAUCCUAUAUUAUUACAUUCAUUCAUAUUCAUGCAUUUUACACCUCAACUACCAUUCCUUUUUCAUCCAAAUGCAAUCUAAAUUAUUACAACAUUUAUAUCUUUAAUACAUCAUGUUACAUUGUGUUCUUUUCAUUUCUUUAACCCCUAAGCUAUGUCGACGGGGUACUGCUAGCUCUGGUCUCUGGGGUAGGGCGCUAUCUACGG